This 465-nucleotide ribosomal RNA is filed under the name uncultured bacterium. Its description in RNAcentral is "partial 16S ribosomal RNA". It matches the Rfam family "Bacterial small subunit ribosomal RNA", at positions 28 to 507 of the family's 1533-position model. The record is from RNAcentral.
GACGAACGCUGGCGGCGUGCUUAACACAUGCAAGUCGAACGGAAAGGCCCCCUUGUGGGGUACUCGAGUGGCGAACGGGUGAGUAACACGUGAGUAACCCACCCUUGACUUUGGGAUAACUUCAGGAAACUGGGGCUAAUACCGGAUAGGAGCUCCUGCUGCAUGGUGGGGGUUGGAAAGUUUCGGCGGUUGGGGAUGGACUCGCGGCUCAUCAGCUUGUUGGUGGGGUAGUGGCUCACCAAGGCUUUGACGGGUAGCCGGCCUGAGAGGGUGACCGGCCACAUUGGGACUGAGAUACGGCCCAGACUCCUACGGGAGGCAGCAGUGGGGAAUAUUGCACAAUGGGCGGAAGCCUGAUGCAGCAACGCCGCGUGCGGGAUGACGGCCUUCGGGUUGUAAACCGCUUUCGCCUGUGACGAAGCGUGAGUGACGGUAAUGGGUAAAGAAGCACCGGCUAACUACGUG